UUCCUCCCCCCCCGGUUAUACGGGGGGUGCGAAGCUUUUUGGAAUUUCUGGGGUUAAACCCCCGCCGGCGGUUUUUCAUUUGGAUGUAAAUUCCCCCGGUCUCACCCUGGGAACUGCCUUUCGAAACUGGCAGGCUGGAGUCUUGUAGAGGGGGGGUAGAAUUCCAGGUGUAGCGGUGAAAUGCGUAGAGAUCUGGAGGAAUACCGGUGGGGAAGGCGGCCCCCUGGACAAAGACUGACGUUCAGGUGCGAAAGCGUGGGGAGCAAACAGGAUUAGAUACCCUGGUAGUCCACGCUGUAAACGAUGUCGACUUGGAGGUUGUUCCCUUGAGGAGUGGCUCCGGAGCUAACGCGUAAGUCGACCGCUUGGAG
RNAcentral lists this ribosomal RNA (371 nucleotides) under uncultured bacterium. Its description in RNAcentral is "partial 16S ribosomal RNA". It matches the Rfam family "Bacterial small subunit ribosomal RNA", at positions 506 to 878 of the family's 1533-position model. The record is from RNAcentral.